RNAcentral lists this transfer RNA (62 nucleotides) under Thaumastocoris safordi. Its description in RNAcentral is "tRNA-Cys". The record is from RNAcentral. Lineage: Eukaryota; Metazoa; Arthropoda; Insecta; Hemiptera; Thaumastocoridae.
GAUUUUAUAGUCAAUAUUAUGAUAUUAGACUGCAAUUCUAAAGUAGUUUUAAACUAAAGUCU